CCUACGGGAGGCAGCAGUGGGGAAUAUUGGACAAUGGGCGAAAGCCUGAUCCAGCCAUACCGCGUGUGUGAAGAAGGCCUUCGGGUUGUAAAGCACUUUCAGUGGGGAAGAAAGCCUUGGGGCUAAUACCCUCGAGGAAGGACAUCACCCACAGAAGAAGCACCGGCUAACUCCGUGCCAGCAGCCGCGGUAAUACGGAGGGUGCGAGCGUUAAUCGGAAUUACUGGGCGUAAAGCGCGCGUAGGCGGUCUGAUAAGCCGGUUGUGAAAGCCCCGGGCUCAACCUGGGAACGGCAUCCGGAACUGUCAGGCUAGAGUGCAGGAGAGGAAGGUAGAAUUCCCGGUGUAGCGGUGAAAUGCGUAGAGAUCGGGAGGAAUACCAGUGGCGAAGGCGGCCUUCUGGACUGACACUGACGCUGAGGUGCGAAAGCGUGGGUAGCAAACAGGAUUAGAUACCCUGGUAGUC
This 465-nucleotide ribosomal RNA is filed under the name Vreelandella stevensii. RNAcentral describes it as "partial 16S ribosomal RNA". It matches the Rfam family "Bacterial small subunit ribosomal RNA", at positions 338 to 795 of the family's 1533-position model. Lineage: Bacteria; Pseudomonadati; Pseudomonadota; Gammaproteobacteria; Oceanospirillales; Halomonadaceae. The record is from RNAcentral.